Podarcis lilfordi (Lilford's wall lizard) is the source of this 73-nucleotide non-coding RNA. The record is from the annotation of a GenBank genome assembly. NCBI's taxonomy places the organism in Eukaryota, Metazoa, Chordata, Lepidosauria, Squamata, Lacertidae.
UCUUAUAUAGCUCAGUCUGUAGAUCAUGAGGCUGUUAAUCUUAGGGUCGUGGGUUCAAGUCCCACGUUGGGCA